GACGAACGCUGGCGGCGUGCCUAAUACAUGCAAGUAGAACGCUGAAGGAGGAGCUUGCUUCUCUGGCUGAGUUGCGAACGGGUGAGUAACGCGUAGGUAACCUGCCUGGUAGCGGGGGAUAACUAUUGGAAACGAUAGCUAAUACCGCAUAAUAGUAGAUGUUGCAUGACAUUUGCUUAAAAGGUGCAAUUGCAUCACUACCAGAUGGACCUGCGUUGUAUUAGCUAGUUGGUGGGGUAACGGCUCACCAAGGCGACGAUACGUAGCCGACCUGAGAGGAUGAUCAGUCACAGUGGAACUGAGACACGGUCCAGACUCCUACGGGAGGCAGCAGUGGGGAAUAUUGGACAAUGGGCGAAAGCCUGAUCCAGCCAUGCCGCGUGUGUGAAGAAGGUCUUCGGAUUGUAAAGCACUUUAAGUUGGGAGGAAGGGCAGUAAGUUAAUACCUUGCUGUUUUGACGUUACCAACAGAAUAAGCACCGGCUAACUUCGUG
RNAcentral lists this ribosomal RNA (494 nucleotides) under uncultured bacterium. RNAcentral's name for it is "partial 16S ribosomal RNA". It matches the Rfam family "Bacterial small subunit ribosomal RNA", at positions 28 to 507 of the family's 1533-position model. The record is from RNAcentral.